This 774-nucleotide long non-coding RNA is filed under the name Medicago truncatula (barrel medic). RNAcentral's name for it is "lncRNA gene43150". Lineage: Eukaryota; Viridiplantae; Streptophyta; Magnoliopsida; Fabales; Fabaceae. The record is from RNAcentral.
UACAAAUUAAUUAAUAUGGUAAGUAAAACAAAUUUCACCCCAAAUCAAAAGUAUUAAUGAAAUGUUUGGAUACACAUAAAAAAUAGGACAAGUAAAUAAAUAAAAAAGAACACUCAAUGUAAAUGAACUUUUGUUUUUAUUUCUUCAGUGAUAUCUUCAAUCCUACUUUAAUGAUUUCUGUCCUUUCACUCUGAUUACUAUAUAAUCAACUGGCCACACCAUUGGGCACAGGUAACUCUGCAUUUAUAGCGGUUUCUACCUUCGGUGGACCUGAAUGACGCCUUGGCCUCGCAGGCGAAGCCGGGAAAGAAAGGCGCUUUUUUGCAGUUCCAAAGGAUCCUUUUUCUUGUUUGCCAUUUUCCUUUGCUAAUGGACUUUGACUUUGUGUCCUCAACCUAGCUUUCGCAGAUUGAGUCGGCACCAUAUAACUUGGAACUGAUGGAGAGCUAGCAAGACUUUCAUCAUCUCUAACUGAUGACCCGGCAAUAGAGUGCCUGCGGAACCGAUCUGACUGUACACUUGCCAUGCUUUUGGAAUCAUCAUCCAUAACCCAGCUUCCCUUUGGACUUGCCUUCUUCAGUUUCCUGGCAACUGAAGCAGAAGCCGGCUUAGUAGGAGUUGAAUUGGACUGAAAGCUGGGUGAGCCAGGAUUUUGGCUCGCUACUGGAGAAUGUAUUUCAGAGUUGAGCUGGAAACGGGCAAAUGAUUUGCUGAUUUCUCCACCUAUAAUGCUGCGGCUCGAACUUUUAACAGAUGAAUGAUCAUUUAGUUCUU